CGCGUAGGCGGUUUGGACAGUCAGGCGUGAAAUUCCCGGGCUUAACCUGGGGGCUGCGCUUGAUACAUCCAGGCUUGAGUGGGGAAGAGGGUCGUGGAAUUCCCAGUGUAGAGGUGAAAUUCGUAGAUAUUGGGAAGAACACCGGUGGCGAAGGCGGCGACCUGGUCCUUUACUGACGCUGAGGCGCGAAAGCGUGGGGAGCAAACAGGAUUAGAUACCCUGGUAGUCCACGCUGUAAACGAUGUGUGCUGGAUGUUGGGUGACCUAGUCACUCAGUGUCGUAGCUAACGCGGUAAGCACACCGCCUGGGGAGUACGGCCGCAAGGUUGAA
This 331-nucleotide ribosomal RNA is filed under the name uncultured bacterium. RNAcentral describes it as "bacterial SSU rRNA". It matches the Rfam family "Bacterial small subunit ribosomal RNA", at positions 568 to 898 of the family's 1533-position model. The record is from RNAcentral.